Micropterus salmoides (largemouth bass) is the source of this 923-nucleotide long non-coding RNA. RefSeq lists it as uncharacterized. The record is from RefSeq and is a predicted model, not a curated record. The transcript is spliced from 3 exons. Lineage: Eukaryota; Metazoa; Chordata; Actinopteri; Centrarchiformes; Centrarchidae.
AGCAGAGCACGACCACAUCCGAUAGUCCCGUGAAAGGCCAGUUAACCUGAAGUGGUAGGCAGAUGACAACAGGGAUAAGAAUGUGGGUUUAGCUAGCAGGUCUUUCUCAUGUCUGAUAUAUCUUAACUUGGUGUGAUGUGGACCAGAACCUAACUCUUUGGGGAACUCAUAUUGUUUUGGACAUCAAAGAUGACAUCCAGAGAGACCUGCAGAAAUCCACAUAUAUGUCAUCAACAAGGAGGGUGGAGAAGUUGCAGCUCAUGGUGACAUUGACAUUUAUGUUGAAGGAGGAAUCAUUCUGGACAACAUUAGAUCUGUAGACCAAGUAUUGUGCAAUGAUGCUGGGAGUCAUCUAUGUACUGAACAUGGCUUACCCCAAAGAGCUGAAAUACUCCUAUGAAUUCAUUCAAAAAUUGCUCUUGCAAAUGGAUGGAGAAAGGCUUUCCCCCAAAGUCCUGGUGUGAACAUUUAAAGCUGCACGAUGGAUUUUGUGGAAUAUUCACCUGAAAUAAAAAUUGCAAUCCUGGAAAUAAGCCAGGUUUCCAUCCAGAUGCAUCACAAAAUUCCUCCAUCUAUCCACUACAUAUGAAUAUUAGAAGUGAAGCGCUUUGAGAUAAACAGUUGGUGACGUCAGCGCUAUUAAACCAUUGCAUAAGAAGAGGACACAAUGAGAUGAUGUCCAAUAAAGGGCAGUCAAAGUUCAAACGAUGGAGAACCUUGUGGAAAACAUGUUGGAAUUAUGAGAUUUCUUGUUUGUUUCAUGUAGGAAUGUUACAGCCUCCUCAUUGCUCCACACGGAUGGGAUGUUUUCAUUUGCCACUAUUUUUAUUAUUCUUAGAGGAGCUUAAGCUUCAGUGGACAUUUAAGUCACAUUUGAUAUACAGUAUAUCAUGAUUUAUUCAGUAAGUUUGUUUUCAUAUUGA